This 521-nucleotide long non-coding RNA is filed under the name Triticum aestivum (bread wheat). Its description in RNAcentral is "long non-coding RNA (TAES_LNC022562)". Lineage: Eukaryota; Viridiplantae; Streptophyta; Magnoliopsida; Poales; Poaceae. The record is from RNAcentral.
CAUGAUUAGAGAGAGAAGUUGCAGGGAAUGGAAAUUCAUUGGAACUCUCACACCAAGUUCCAUUUUGGAUUGGAUUCUCCCAUGUUUAUUCUUCCUAGUACGCCCAAAGAGCCAUUGGCAUUGUACAGACAUAGUAAUAAGUAGAGAUAUAUGUCUUGGACAAAAAAAAAAGAUAUAUGUCAAAAGGUUAAUAUAAAGCUCAGGGCAAGAUAGGUGCAACUGGCAACCUUCCCGACACAACGGCUUGGGAGACAUACAACGCCUUGACAAAAUCGUCGAACCUAUAUAUCAGUAUGCACUUCUCUGAAGCACGGCAGCUAAGGCUCCUCCUUGCUAACUUUACCAAGUGCUUGCUGAGCAAACAGCAACUCCUCUCGCUCUCGUUUCUUCGCCAAGGCCUCCUCAUCGAGCACUUGGAUAGGUGACCAUUCGGGUACAGUAAACCAGUCUUUCUUAUCAACGGACAAAUGCUCUUUCCAAUCACGCCAUUCAGGGCUUAGCUUCAUCGCGGCGUAGUCCAG